This 991-nucleotide long non-coding RNA is filed under the name Gorilla gorilla gorilla (western lowland gorilla). RNAcentral's name for it is "lncRNA (ENSGGOG00000044516.1)". The record is from RNAcentral. Lineage: Eukaryota; Metazoa; Chordata; Mammalia; Primates; Hominidae.
CAAAAAGUAUUUAAUUCACUUCCAUCCAAACAAAUUAAGAAAACAAGUUUCCUCUGGACUUUGCCUCAUUUUGUUCUACAAAUCUCUUCCAAAAUUAAAACCUCUUAUGACAGAUAUAUACCCCCUUAUUUUACAUGGUAUUACUCUUGGAAUUCUAUCUAUAACCCUCAUGAUAGAUGUAUUACAUUCCUCUCAAACUACUUGCAUUUCCCUCAACUUUUGAUGUUAUCUCAAUGAAUUCUUUUCUUGCUAUUCUAGGAAUUUUCUGUACCAUUGUGCCCAGAAUUGGUUCCUUCCCGUGGGUUCUUUGUCUCGCUGACUUCAAGAAUGAAGCUGUGGAUCCUCGUGUUGGUCUCCUAGCAACACAAUCAGCCUCCCUGUUGUCAUGUCCUUGGAUCACACGGAUCAAAGAAACCCUGCCUCACACUGUCUCAUCUCCACAGAAUCCCUCUUCCAACCUUCCUAUCUUUUCUAUUUCCCAUUGAUAGAGGGAAACUUGUAGACUCUUCUCAUCAACAAAAGGUCUUAAUUUUCAUCCAGACCGCCUUCAGCCCACUUCUACUGACCACAAGCUUUUGGAUCCUGCCCUGGGUCUCUGAGCACAGCAGAAUACAGGAGAAUCCCUUUCUUCUGGAGACAUGAUGCCUUAUCUUCCCUCCCAAAGGACCAUCUCUGCUUCAAUUCCACUGCCAGCCACAUCCUUGCUACUGCCCUCUUACUACUUCCUAUUCCAGCCAAACUGUAUUAGUUUUUAAUUUAUUUCACUCAGUUAUUCUUAUUACAGUUUAAAUACAGAAAAUACAAAAUAUGGAUAUUUAUUUUAUUUCUUAUUAUACAAGCAUAUCCAUGUUAUCUUUGAUAUUGCUACUUGGUCCACACAGGUGGAUAAGGUACUAUAUUUACCAUCUGACCCUUUAUAGAAAAAGUUAGCUGACCCCUCGUCUAAACUAUGAAGACAGAAACAUCUGUUUUUUUCCUUAUUGUAGUCCCA